GGCGUAAGGGCGAGUAACACGUGGGUAACGUACCUCAGCGCUGGGGAUAACCUUCCGAAAGGGGGGCUAAUACCGAAUGAGGUCAUUUCGCGCAAGCGAGAUGGCCAAAGGUGGGGAUCCGCAAGGACCUACCGCGCAGAGAGCGGCCCGCGUCCUAUCAGCUUGUUGGUGGGGUAACGGCCUACCAAGGCGACGACGGGUAGCCGAGUUGAGAGACUGACCGGCCGCACUGGGACUGAGACACUGCCCAGACUCCUACGGGAGGCUGCAGUCGAGGAUCAUUCGCAAUGGGCGAAAGCCUGACGAUGCGACGCCGCGUGAACGAAGAAGGCCUUCGGGUUGUAAAGUUCUUUGAGCAGGGGCGAACGCUUUCCCGCGAACAGCGGGUAGAGCCUGACGGUACCUGCAGAACAAGCCACGGCUAACCUCGUGCCAGCAGCCGCGGUAAUACGAGGGUGGCUAGCGUUGUUCGGAUUUACUGGGCGUAAAGGGGGUCUAGGUGGUAUGCUAAGUCUUCUGUGAAACCCCGGAGCUUAACUCCGGAACUGCAGGGGAAACUGGCAUGCUAGAGUACGUAAGACGCAUGCGGAAUACUGGGUGUAGCGGUGAAAUGCGUAGAUAUCCAGUAGAACACCUGCGGCGAAAGCGGCCUGCGUGUACGUUACUGACACUGACGCCCGAAAGCGUGGGGAGCAAACAGGAUUAGAUACCCUGGUAGUCCACGCUGUAAACUAUGCGCACUAGACGUUGGCGGUAUCGACCCUGCCAGUGUCGUAGUUAACGCGUUAAGUGCGCCGCCUGGGGAGUACGCUCGCAAGA
Molecule: ribosomal RNA, 819 nt
Filed under: uncultured bacterium
Lineage: Bacteria
Description: bacterial SSU rRNA
Rfam family: Bacterial small subunit ribosomal RNA
Source: RNAcentral